This 458-nucleotide ribosomal RNA is filed under the name uncultured bacterium. RNAcentral describes it as "SSU rRNA". It matches the Rfam family "Bacterial small subunit ribosomal RNA", at positions 26 to 518 of the family's 1533-position model. The record is from RNAcentral.
AGAAUCAACGCUGGCGGCGUGCCUAACACAUGCAAGUCGAACGAGAAAGUGGAGCAAUCCAUGAGUAAAGUGGCGACCGGGUGAGUAACACGUGACUAACCUACCUUUGAGUGGGGGAUAACAUCGGGAAACCGAUGCUAAUACCGCAUAACAUCGCAAGAUCAAAGCAGCAAUGCGCUUAAAGAGGGGGUCGCGGCUGAUUAGCUAGUUGGCGGGUAACGCCCACCAAGGCGAAGAUCGGUAUCCGGCCUGAGAGGGCGCACGGACACACUGGAACUGAAACACGGUCCAGACUCCUACGGGAGGCAGCAGUGGGGAAUUUUGCGCAAUGGGGGAAACCCUGACGCAGCAACGCCGCGUGGAGGAUGAAGCCCCUUGGGGCGUAAACUCCUUUCGACCAAGACGAUAAUGACGGUACUGGUGGAAGAAGCACCGGCUAACUCUGCGCCAGCAGCCGC